This 607-nucleotide ribosomal RNA is filed under the name Macrophomina phaseolina. Its description in RNAcentral is "eukaryotic LSU rRNA". The stretch from base 238 to 391 matches the Rfam family "5.8S ribosomal RNA". The record is from RNAcentral. Lineage: Eukaryota; Fungi; Ascomycota; Dothideomycetes; Botryosphaeriales; Botryosphaeriaceae.
UGGAAGUAAAAGUCGUAACAAGGUUUCCGUAGGUGAACCUGCGGAAGGAUCAUUACCGAGUUGAUUCGGGCUCCGUCCCGAUCCUCCCACCCUUUGUAUACCUACCUCUGUUGCUUUGGCGGGCCGCGGUCUUCCGCGGCCGCCCCCCGAUUUUGGGGGGUGGCUAGUGCCCGCCAGAGGACUAUCAAACUCCAGUCAGUAAACGUUGCAGUCUGAAAAAAAUAUUAAAUAAACUAAAACUUUCAACAACGGAUCUCUUGGUUCUGGCAUCGAUGAAGAACGCAGCGAAAUGCGAUAAGUAAUGUGAAUUGCAGAAUUCAGUGAAUCAUCGAAUCUUUGAACGCACAUUGCGCCCCUUGGUAUUCCGGGGGGCAUGCCUGUUCGAGCGUCAUUUCAACCCUCAAGCUCUGCUUGGUAUUGGGCACCGUCCUUUGCGGGCGCGCCUCAAAGACCUCGGCGGUGGCGUCUUGCCUCAAGCGUAGUAGAAUACACCUCGCUUCGGAGCGUAAGGCGUCGCCCGCCGGACGAACCUUCUGAACUUUUCUCAAGGUUGACCUCGGAUCAGUAGGGAUACCCGCUGAACUUAAGCAUAUCAAUAAGCGGAGGA